GGAGAGGCACGUGACUGUAUCAGCCAAUGGCCGAGCCUCCUGCGAAAGUUUGCUGGCUCCUGCGGUGAUGGAUCACCGUUUCAGUGGCAUUUAAAUCCCCGGCGCUCCUCAGUCUAGGUGACGCGCAGUCGCCCCCCCAGGCAGCUCGGGCGGCAGCAGCAGCUGCGGCGGCUGCAGGGGCAGAUUCGGAGCGCUGGGGCGACGGGCAGCGGAGGCUGCCUUCUGCGCGCGCUGACUCCGAUCGCCACCCUUCUCCGGGAGGGGGUGCUGGGAGGCAUCCCCAGUCACCGCCCCCUCCCCACGGUGCACAGAAAGAGGAACUGGCAAGAGGUCUGUUUGCCUGGACCCAUCAACAGCUGGGAGACUAAUCAACCACACUGAAAAUGUUCGGGGAUUUGUGGGGGAGGGGUUUGGAAUGUAGAUGUUUGAAACAAAUAUGUAUAAAUAAAUGAGUUGCUGAUAACUUAGUUAUUGACCUGAUAACUUAGUUAUUGGUAGCUUGUUAAAGAAACUUCAUGUUCCUCCUUCCUGGAGUUGGGGGUUUCUGUAGGCACUGUGUUUCUCCACUUUCAAAAGCUUGGGCUUGGCCCAGCUCUGAAGCUUCCCAAUCAUGUUUCUAUUACCAAUUUAAAUCUAUGGCUUGAACCUCUACAUUGAAAAACCAAAUCCAUUCCCUUAAAAAACAACAACAACAACAACAACAACAGCAAAAAGAAAAAACCCACACUUCUCAGAAGCCCUAACCAUUUUUUGGCUUUCUUUUCCAUUGCUGACUGUUGAAGACUUUGGACAUGCCCCCUUUAAUAAAUAUAUUAAAAUUGAAAAAGAAAA
Molecule: long non-coding RNA, 831 nt
Organism: Camelus dromedarius (Arabian camel)
Lineage: Eukaryota; Metazoa; Chordata; Mammalia; Artiodactyla; Camelidae
Exons: 2
Source: RefSeq, a predicted model, not a curated record